GUUUUGUAUUGUUUUUAUAGAGCUGCCCUCACAUGCUUCAGCAGCAUUAGAUGUCCUGGAGACUAGAAAGUCCGAGAUCAUGGUGCCUGAAGAUUCAGUGUCUGAAAUGGUGUUUCUUCGUGUUGCCCAUGCUGGUCUCAAAUUCCUGAGCUCAAGGGAUCCAUCUACCUUGGCAUCCUAAAGUGCUGGGAUUACAGGCAUGAGCCACCAUGCUCAGCCUGCUCGUCAUUAUUUAUGUCAACUUCAGUCCUAAGAAUUGUGCUUUUCCUUGUGUAGGAUUUACUACUAAGGGUCUUUUCUUUGGGAUAAAUUAUUUUGUGACUUUUCUAUAAAAACAUAAUGAGACUAAGAUUAUAGAAUAUUACUCUUGUGUUGC
Chlorocebus sabaeus (green monkey) is the source of this 376-nucleotide non-coding RNA. Lineage: Eukaryota; Metazoa; Chordata; Mammalia; Primates; Cercopithecidae. The record is from RefSeq and is a predicted model, not a curated record.